Molecule: ribosomal RNA, 439 nt
Filed under: uncultured bacterium
Lineage: Bacteria
Description: bacterial SSU rRNA
Rfam family: Bacterial small subunit ribosomal RNA
Source: RNAcentral
GACGAACGCUGGCGGCGCGCCUAACACAUGCAAGUCGAACGAGCGAGAGGGAGCUUGCUUUCUCGAGCGAGUGGCGAACGGGUGAGUAACGCGUGAGGAACCUGCCUCAAAGAGGGGGACAACAGUUGGAAACGACUGCUAAUACCGCAUAAGCCCACGGGUCGGCAUCGACCAGAGGGAAAAGGAGCAAUCCGCUUUGAGAUGGCCUCGCGUCCGAUUAGCUAGUUGGUGAGGUAACGGCCCACCAAGGCAACGAUCGGUAGCCGGACUGAGAGGUUGAACGGCCACAUUGGGACUGAGACACGGCCCAGACUCCUACGGGAGGCAGCAGUGGGGAAUAUUGCACAAUGGGGGAAACCCUGAUGCAGCGACGCCGCGUGGAGGAAGAAGGUCUUCGGAUUGUAAACUCCUGUUGUUGAGGAAGAUAAUGACGGUACUC